UGAUUUGUAUGACCUGAACUUGACCUGGAA
This 30-nucleotide non-coding RNA is filed under the name Rattus norvegicus (Norway rat). The record is from RNAcentral. Lineage: Eukaryota; Metazoa; Chordata; Mammalia; Rodentia; Muridae.